Non-coding RNA from Paramuricea clavata, 2178 nucleotides. The record is from the annotation of a GenBank genome assembly. NCBI's taxonomy places the organism in Eukaryota, Metazoa, Cnidaria, Anthozoa, Malacalcyonacea, Plexauridae.
GCCAAACGAAAAAUUACGUAAUCACCCGAGGAAAACCAGAGGAUCUGGUGAAAAACCUUGGUGAUUACGAGUCCGGAUUCCGAAAACCCAACCCUAGUGUGACCGAAUUAACUAUAAUAUAUACCAUACCUACCAAUACCUACCAAUACCUACCAAAAUCCAGAAAAGUAAAUAUCUUGCAAAAAAAAAUCCAAAUAAAAAAAAUCUCACGAGAUGUCAACAAAAAAAAUUGUAGACCACCCGAAAAAUUCAGUCUACAGAUUGCGCAAGACAAAUAUGCCUCUUUUUAUUAACAAAUUGUUCCAUGUAAGGGUAUAUUUAUCUUAACCUUGAAACUUGAAAAUAUUUCAGAUAUGUUCAGGACAAGGUGCGUGGCAAAUGAAUCCAAUGGCCCAACAUAUUUGACAAUAGUUUGUAAAAGCUAUUAGGACACUUGGGUGCAUUUUAAAGAUGUGAUGUGUGCAUUUCUAUAUUUUAGAUUUUUGCCGCAUUUUGCUUUAUCGCGCGCAAGAAAAUUGCAACGCGCGCACUCAAUUUAAGUUAGCAUGCACUGGUUUUCAUGCCCUUAAUUGUACUAAGCAUGCAUCUGAGCGCGUUUAAUUUUGUUUGCAUGAAACGUUGCGCACUUAAUUCUAAUCAACAUGCACCUUAAUUUAUAUUUCAAGUCAAGACUAUAUAGAGCACAACGUCACUAUUUGCACAUGGAGUACACUCACCGACUGUACUCCGCAUUACAGCAGCACGCGCCGCGCGCGCCGCUUAUGUUAAUUAGCUGCGCACGACCAUGGUGUUUUUUUAUGAUCCAUGGUUCGACCAAGCUUAUGUAUGAAUGUAAGACAACACGGAAUGCAACAUGGCAAACAUUCUAUGUCGCUGACCAUAUAUAAACUUGAUCUGCAGAGUGUUUUCACGGCGGCUAUGUUUGGGAACAAGUUAAAGUGCCGAAAUACAAGUUAACAAGAAAACCAUUAUUUUAAAAUACUUGUCCGUCAACAAAGCAACACGUGAAAACACUAUUUUUCCUGGCGGUCUUUUCGGCUGAAAACUUAUAGUACAAUUUAUAAAGCGCGCGCGCAAUGCAUUAGCAACCUAAAGAAACGAGCCUAUUCUCCACUUUGGAACGAGAACUACGUUUCUUAUCGUUAAGCUCCUAAUCCAAGAUAUCUUGGCAGAAAAUUGUUUCUUUUUUGUUGUGUUUUUUCUGCAACAAGUAUUCUUGGACUAUUGUUGCUUAUAUUCAAAGUGGUUUCGCGGUUUUCUUUUUUAUUUCUCUUUUUCGCAAUAUUUUUUAUUUCUCUUUUUCGCAAUAUUUUCUUUUUUAUUUCUCUUUUUCGCAAUAUUUUCUUUUUUCCACUUUGAAUUGAUUCUGUAAGUAUUUUUCAACAGGAAAACAGUUCCAUUUUCCUGCUGUGUUAAAUACUUCUCAGAAUGUUACUGGCGCAAAAUUAUGAUGAUAAUGAAUUAUAGUAAACAUGCCUUAUAGUAUACAUGCCGCAAAGCGCCCUAUUUCUAUCUGCCUAACCUUCCUAACUAGUGCGCGCGCGCAUAUACCCGUUCAAAAACCUGCAAGGGAAACCCCCAAAUGUGGAAUCUCGGUCAUGCCCCUAGCUUAACUUAACUUAACUUAACUUAACCUAGUGUGUGCCGGUUGCACCUGAUGAGCUUCCACAAACAGGGGUAAGGUUUGCAUGCCUUAUGUUAAUGUCUUCCAUCGUCGAGCCGCCAUAACAGAGAGGGAACCUAAUCUCUGGUAGCGAACUGUUUUCAUAUAACUCGGGCAGAAAACUAACGUUCGAAACCAGCGAUAUACAUGCACUACGGGCGAUGAAACCACGCAAUUAACUUUAUUAUUCAGUAAAGCCUAGACUAUUUAGAUUUACAAUACUUAUGUCGUUACAGUCCUAAGCUGAUCUUUCUGUAGGUGGAAACCGGAGUACCCGGGGAGAAUCCACAUCUUUCAAAAAAUCAUGUCCAGAAAUAUCCACCAAUCUUCUUACGGGUACCAUUUGCACCCUCUAAGCUAUGGAUACCAUUUGCACCCAGUUUAGUUAUCCUACCGAAGGAAAACUAUGCCAGCUUUUCAACAAAAUUUUGGCCACACCCAUAUAUUACGCACACAAAUAUACAGAUCAUGUAAUGGAUUAAGGUCAAGGUUCUAGGGUUAGAUUUAACCCCAAG